Long non-coding RNA from Folsomia candida, 498 nucleotides. RefSeq lists it as uncharacterized. The transcript is spliced from 4 exons. The record is from RefSeq and is a predicted model, not a curated record. NCBI's taxonomy places the organism in Eukaryota, Metazoa, Arthropoda, Collembola, Entomobryomorpha, Isotomidae.
AAAAAAAAAUCGACAACACCUACUUUUUGCCAGUCCGAUUGUUCUUGUCCUUGUUCAGCCCGAACAAAUCAAUCUUUCCGUCAAAAUGGAGGAACAAGGUCAGUACAAUCAAGGUCAGCACCCGUCCCAAACUCAAGCAGGUUACCCGCUCCCGGCGCUCCUCCCGUUGUGAUGGUUGCCGGGGAAGGAGUGUGCCCAAACUGUGGGGGAAUGAUGUUGACCGACAACAACGGCUUAAUUUGUGGACUCAUCUGGACCUUUUGCUGCUUUCCUUUUGGCCUGAUCUGCUUGCACUCGAUGUGGAAGAAACGCUGCGUCAGCUGCGGAUUUGAAGUGCCUCAGUGCUGCUGAAUUAUAUAAUACACAUUUCGAAAUGGGAGAGAAAAUCAAAAUUAGGAUGAUUUCUGAAAAAAUACUUGUAAACUACUCACGUAUGUAAAACAGCAUAAAAUUGUGUAUUGCUUUUGUACAAAUAAAACAAGACUGGAUUUAUUAUAA